Molecule: long non-coding RNA, 418 nt
Organism: Poecilia reticulata (guppy)
Lineage: Eukaryota; Metazoa; Chordata; Actinopteri; Cyprinodontiformes; Poeciliidae
Source: RefSeq, a predicted model, not a curated record
CUCAAGUAAGUCUCAAGUCUUUGUCCUCAAGUCCAACUCAAGUAAAGACGAGACAGGCUUGGAUUUACCAGUGGGAUUGUGUGACAUACCAGCAGAAAAUCUAUACUAACCAGAUUUAAAUUAAAGUUGUCGGACAAGAAAGCGGAUUGUGAGGGAGGUGGAAAACAUGUGGCAAAGGUCAUCAGAGCAGGACUUGAACCCGUGAUGGCCGGGCCGAGGACUCAGGCCUCUGUAUGGGAGCUCCUCCGCUGUGCUCAGAAAUCAAGAAAGUCUUGUCCAUGAUAGUCCACGAGUACAGAAGAAACCCUCAGCCUCUUCGUUUGUUCUGCAGACUCAAAGGUCAAUGGGAGAGGGUGAUGUUGCAAAAUCCUAUUUGUCUGGGAGCCAUUUGUUGGGAUUGUUAUCCAGUCGUUCAAGG